This 522-nucleotide ribosomal RNA is filed under the name Pseudomonas putida. Its description in RNAcentral is "bacterial SSU rRNA". It matches the Rfam family "Bacterial small subunit ribosomal RNA", at positions 262 to 776 of the family's 1533-position model. The record is from RNAcentral. Lineage: Bacteria; Pseudomonadati; Pseudomonadota; Gammaproteobacteria; Pseudomonadales; Pseudomonadaceae.
GGCUCACCAAGGCGACGAUCCGUAACUGGUCUGAGAGGAUGAUCAGUCACACUGGAACUGAGACACGGUCCAGACUCCUACGGGAGGCAGCAGUGGGGAAUAUUGGACAAUGGGCGAAAGCCUGAUCCAGCCAUGCCGCGUGUGUGAAGAAGGUCUUCGGAUUGUAAAGCACUUUAAGUUGGGAGGAAGGGCAUUAACCUAAUACGUUAGUGUUUUGACGUUACCGACAGAAUAAGCACCGGCUAACUCUGUGCCAGCAGCCGCGGUAAUACAGAGGGUGCAAGCGUUAAUCGGAAUUACUGGGCGUAAAGCGCGCGUAGGUGGUUUGUUAAGUUGGAUGUGAAAGCCCCGGGCUCAACCUGGGAACUGCAUCCAAAACUGGCAAGCUAGAGUACAGUAGAGGGUGGUGGAAUUUCCUGUGUAGCGGUGAAAUGCGUAGAUAUAGGAAGGAACACCAGUGGCGAAGGCGACCACCUGGACUGAUACUGACACUGAGGUGCGAAAGCGUGGGGAGCCAACAGG